GCCUCGAUGACGCAAUUGGUUAGCGUGUAAGGCUUUUAACCUUGAAGUUGAGGGUUCGAGUCCCUCUCGAGGCG
This is a transfer RNA of Endocarpon pusillum Z07020, 74 nucleotides long. It matches the Rfam family "tRNA". Rfam says of the family: Transfer RNA (tRNA) molecules are approximately 80 nucleotides in length. Their secondary structure includes four short double-helical elements and three loops (D, anti-codon, and T loops). NCBI's taxonomy places the organism in Eukaryota, Fungi, Ascomycota, Eurotiomycetes, Verrucariales, Verrucariaceae. The record is from Rfam.